UGUCCCAGCUUGGCUGGCUGUGUUUUCAGAAUGCAGUCGAACGAUUAAGACUUCCUCCGGGAAGUGCAUAAAGUGGCGCACGGGUGAGUAACACGUAAGUAAUCUACCCUCGAGUGGGGAAUAACGUUCGGAAACGGACGCUAAUACCGCAUAACGCAGCGGCACCGCAAGGUGACAGUUGUUAAAGGAGCAAUCCGCUUGAGGAGGAGCUUGCGGCAGAUUAGCUAGUUGGUAGGGUAAUGGCUUACCAAGGCUACGAUCUGUAUCCGGUCUAAGAGGACGGUCGGACACACUGACACUGAAUAACGGGUCAGACUCCUACGGGAGGCAGCAGUCGGGAAUUUUGGGCAAUGGGCGAAAGCCUGACCCAGCAACGCCGCGUGAAGGAUGAAGUAUUUCGGUAUGUAAACUUCGAAAGAAUAGGAAGAAUAAAUGACGGUACUAUUUAUAAGCUCCGGCUAACUACGUGCCAGCAGCCGCGGUAAUACGUAGGGAGCAAGCGUUGUUCGGAUUUACCGGGCGUAAAGGGCGCGUAGGCGGCGCGGUAAGUCACUUGUGAAAUCUCUGAGCUUAACUCAGAACGGCCAAGUGAUACUGCAGUGCUAGAGUGCAGAAAGGGCAGUCGGAAUUCUUGGUGUAGCGGUGAAAUGCGUAGAUAUCAAGAGGAACACCUGAGGCGAAGGCGGGUUGCUAGGCUGACACUGACGCUGAGGCGCGAAAGCCAGGGGAGCAAACGGGAUUAGAUACCCCGGUAGUCCUGGCCCUAAACGAUGAAUACUUGGUGUCUGGGAGUUUCAAUACUCCGGGUGCCGUCGCUAACGUUUUAGUAUUCCGCCUGGG
RNAcentral lists this ribosomal RNA (840 nucleotides) under uncultured bacterium. Its description in RNAcentral is "bacterial SSU rRNA". It matches the Rfam family "Bacterial small subunit ribosomal RNA", at positions 20 to 877 of the family's 1533-position model. The record is from RNAcentral.